UACGUAGGAUGCAAGCGUUGUCCGGAUUUACUGGGCGUAAAGCGCGCGCAGGCGGCAUGGUAAGUUAGGUGUGAAAUCCAUCUGCUCAACGGGUGGGGUGCAUUUUAGACUGCCAAGCUUGAGGUCGGUAGAGGGGGGUAGAAUUGCUGGUGUAGCGGUGAAAUGCGUAGAGAUCAGCAGGAAUACCCGUGGCGAAGGCGGCCCCCUGGGCCGUACCUGACGCUGAGGCGCGAAGGCUAGGGGAGCGAACGGG
This 253-nucleotide ribosomal RNA is filed under the name uncultured bacterium. RNAcentral's name for it is "partial 16S ribosomal RNA". It matches the Rfam family "Bacterial small subunit ribosomal RNA", at positions 524 to 776 of the family's 1533-position model. The record is from RNAcentral.